AUUCGAAAGACAAGGUUACGUGCCUAGUGAGAUGUGGCACUUGUAUGGAAUUUUUUAUUGGACUUUAUUAUUUGUAAGCCACAGAAGACAAUCCACAAAUACCAGGGAACCUGAGGAUCUCUGCUGCGGCCUGCCGCCCUGAGUCCAGGGAGCCUGAGGAUCUCUGCUGCGGCCUGCCGCCCUGAGUCCAGGGAGCCUGAGGAUCUCUGCUGCGGCCUGCCGCCCUGAGUCCAGGGAGCCUGAGGAUCUCUGCUGCGUCCUGCCGCCCUGAGUCCAGGGAGCCUGAGGAUCUCUGCUGCGGCCUGCGGCCCUGAGUCCAGGGAGCCUGAGGAUCUCUGCUGCGGCCUGCCGCCCUGAGUCCAGGGAGCCUGAGGAUCUCUGCUGCGGCCUGCCGCCCUGAGUCCAGGGAGCCUGAGGAUCUCUGCUGCGGCCUGCCGCCCUGAGUCCAGGGAGCCUGAGGAUCUCUGCUGCGGCCUGCCGCCCUGAGUCCAGGGAGCCUGAGGAUCUCUGCUGCGGCCUGCCGCCCUGAGUCCAGGGAGCCUGAGGAUCUCUGCUGCUGCCCUGGGCUUUUGUAAAGCUCGUUACGCUGAACUCCACCGAUAUGAAGACCCAGGGGAGCUGCCGAAAUCGCCCCGAUCGCCCGACACGUCCUCCUGUCCCGUGGGAUCUGUUGUCACGCCCCGGCACUGCAGCAGGAAGGAGAGGUUUCUCUGCCAGAGUGACCCGGCAGGGGACACGAACACAUGAGGAUCACACGGGAAAUACGUCUUCUGCUCCGCAGCUGGUAAAUGCAGCGCGGUGUCUGCGUACCUCCACUCUGCGACCUGUCGGAGGUGUAGAUGCUUCCCGUCACGCCCACCAGCUUCUCUCUGCUCUUCAGCCUGAGAGACGCACGUUGAGUGAGUGACGUUCCUCC
Molecule: long non-coding RNA, 916 nt
Organism: Brienomyrus brachyistius
Lineage: Eukaryota; Metazoa; Chordata; Actinopteri; Osteoglossiformes; Mormyridae
Exons: 5
Source: RefSeq, a predicted model, not a curated record